UUUCAGGAGGUGAGGCGGUCUGUGAUGAUGCUCACGGAGAGAAACAACCUUCACACCUUUCAAGCAGGAAUUCAUCUUGAAAGAUGCAACAUGCAGAUCCACCUCAAAUCUGCUGUGGCGAACCCAAACGGAGGAAGAAAAGGGAGAAGACGAAGGGAUUUAUGAUGGGGAAUACGUUUUUUCAGAUCAGAUCUGCCUGUAUUCCAAAGAGCCAAUGAGAGUCGAGAGAGAUUAGACAGUGACCAGAAAACCAACAAAGUGCCCUUUGCUGCUGCU
Long non-coding RNA from Thalassophryne amazonica, 276 nucleotides. RefSeq lists it as uncharacterized. The transcript is spliced from 2 exons. NCBI's taxonomy places the organism in Eukaryota, Metazoa, Chordata, Actinopteri, Batrachoidiformes, Batrachoididae. The record is from RefSeq and is a predicted model, not a curated record.